GGGGGGAACCGGGGUCUUUCUCUCAUCAACCCUGUGCACAUACCUAAACGUUGCUUCGGCGGGAACAGACGGCCCCGUGAAACGGGCCGCCCCCGCCAGAGGACCCCUAACUCUGUUUCUAUAAUGUUUCUUCUGAGUAAAACAAGCAAAUAAAUUAAAACUUUCAACAACGGAUCUCUUGGCUCUGGCAUCGAUGAAGAACGCAGCGAAAUGCGAUAAGUAAUGUGAAUUGCAGAAUUCAGUGAAUCAUCGAAUCUUUGAACGCACAUUGCGCCCGCCAGUAUUCUGGCGGGCAUGCCUGUUCGAGCGUCAUUACAACCCUCAGGCCCCCGGGCCUGGCGUUGGGGAUCGGCGGAGCCCCCCGUGGGCACACGCCGUCCCCCAAAUACAGUGGCGGUCCCGCCGCAGCUUCCAUCGCGUAGUAGCUAACACCUCGCGACUGGAGAGCGGCGCGGCCACGCCGUAAAACACCCAACUCUUCUGAAGUUGACCUCGAAUCAGGUAGGAAUACCCGCUGAACUUAAGCAUAUCAAUAAGCGGAGGA
Molecule: ribosomal RNA, 544 nt
Filed under: Fusarium solani
Lineage: Eukaryota; Fungi; Ascomycota; Sordariomycetes; Hypocreales; Nectriaceae
Description: eukaryotic LSU rRNA
Rfam family: 5.8S ribosomal RNA (bases 159-312)
Source: RNAcentral